GACGAACGCUGGCGGCGUGCUUAACACAUGCAAGUCGAACGGAAAGGCCCUGCUUUUGUGGGGUUCUCGAGUGGCGAACGGGGGAGUAACACGCGAGUAUCCUGCCCUUGACUUUGGGAUAACUUCAGGAAACUGGGGCUAAUACCGGAUAGGAUCUCCUGCUGCAUGGUGGGGGUUGGAAAGUUUCGGCGGUUGUGGAUGGACUCGCGGCUUAUCAGCUUGUUGGUGGGGUAGUGGCUUACCAAGGCUUUGACGGGUAGCCGGCCUGAGAGGGUGACCGGCCACAUUGGGACUGAGAUACGGACCAGACUCCUACGGGAGGCAGCAGUGGGGAAUAUUGCACAAUGGGCGGAAGCCUGAUGCAGAAGCGCCGCGUGCGGGAUGACGGCCUUCGGGGUGUAAACAGCUUUCGCCUGUGACGAAGCGUGAGUGACGGUAAUGGGUAAAGAAGCACCGGCUAACUACGUG
This 468-nucleotide ribosomal RNA is filed under the name uncultured bacterium. RNAcentral's name for it is "partial 16S ribosomal RNA". It matches the Rfam family "Bacterial small subunit ribosomal RNA", at positions 28 to 507 of the family's 1533-position model. The record is from RNAcentral.